This 445-nucleotide ribosomal RNA is filed under the name Aeromonas aquatica. Its description in RNAcentral is "bacterial SSU rRNA". It matches the Rfam family "Bacterial small subunit ribosomal RNA", at positions 30 to 466 of the family's 1533-position model. Lineage: Bacteria; Pseudomonadati; Pseudomonadota; Gammaproteobacteria; Aeromonadales; Aeromonadaceae. The record is from RNAcentral.
AUUGAACGCUGGCGGCAGGCCUAACACAUGCAAGUCGAGCGGCAGCGGGAAAGUAGCUUGCUACUUUUGCCGGCGAGCGGCGGACGGGUGAGUAAUGCCUGGGGAUCUGCCCAGUCGAGGGGGAUAACAGUUGGAAACGACUGCUAAUACCGCAUACGCCCUACGGGGGAAAGGAGGGGACCUUCGGGCCUUUCGCGAUUGGAUGAACCCAGGUGGGAUUAGCUAGUUGGUGGGGUAAUGGCUCACCAAGGCGACGAUCCCUAGCUGGUCUGAGAGGAUGAUCAGCCACACUGGAACUGAGACACGGUCCAGACUCCUACGGGAGGCAGCAGUGGGGAAUAUUGCACAAUGGGGGAAACCCUGAUGCAGCCAUGCCGCGUGUGUGAAGAAGGCCUUCGGGUUGUAAAGCACUUUCAGCGAGGAGGAAAGGUUGAUGCCUAAUACG